This 76-nucleotide transfer RNA is filed under the name Desulfuromonadales bacterium. RNAcentral's name for it is "tRNA-Phe". It matches the Rfam family "tRNA". Rfam says of the family: Transfer RNA (tRNA) molecules are approximately 80 nucleotides in length. Their secondary structure includes four short double-helical elements and three loops (D, anti-codon, and T loops). The record is from RNAcentral. Lineage: Bacteria; Pseudomonadati; Thermodesulfobacteriota; Desulfuromonadia; Desulfuromonadales.
GCAAGGGUAGCUCAAAUGGUAGAGCGGUGAAUUGAAAAUUCACAGGCAGUCGGUUCAAUACCGACCCCUUGCACCA